GUAUGGACGAGAGUCUGAACCACCCAGUAGCGUGAAGGAUGACUGCCCUAUGGGUUGUAAACUUCUUUUAUACNGGAAUAAAGUGAGCCACGUGUGGUUUUUUGUAUGUACCGUAUGAAUAAGGAUCGGCUAACUCCNUGCCAGCAGCCGCGGUAAUACNGAGGAUCCNAGCGUUAUCCGGAUUUAUUGGGUUUAAAGGGAGCGUAGGCGGGUUGUUAAGUCAGUUGUGAAAGUUUGCGGCUCAACCGUAAAAUUGCAGUUGAUACUGGCGACCUUGAGUGCAACAGAGGUAGGCGGAAUUCGUGGUGUAGCGGUGAAAUGCUUAGAUAUCACGAAGAACUCCGAUUGCGAAGGCAGCUUACUGGAUUGUAACUGACGCUGAUGCUCGAAAGUGUGGGUAUCAAACAGGAUUAGAUACCCUGGUAGUCCAAGGGCGAAUUC
RNAcentral lists this ribosomal RNA (441 nucleotides) under uncultured bacterium. RNAcentral's name for it is "SSU rRNA". It matches the Rfam family "Bacterial small subunit ribosomal RNA", at positions 369 to 808 of the family's 1533-position model. The record is from RNAcentral.